AUGCGGUUUCGCGAAUGCGCCACAAGGGGGAGUAUUUGCCCGAGUAGAUGCAGGUUGCGGUAGGUCAGCACGGGGUUUCCGUCGUCAGACUGCUGAACGGACACAGCUAAUGUCUACUGUCUCUACUUCACCUGCACGAAACAGGAACUUUGCAUAAUGAUGAGGUUGAGGGCCCAUCAUCUGAAAUUCAGCAUUCUGCAGACACUUCCCCUAGUGAUCAAUUGGAUCACGAAGAUGUGAACCAUCAGGAAUCUCACAGUCGAAGCUGCAGUGACAGUGAAGAGACCCCCCCAUGCUUCAUACCACACACCAUCCCACCAGCUGGGUAUUUGAUCUCUUUUGCUUUAAGAUUUCAGAAAACUUAUAGUAAUAAUUUAUCAAUAAUGAUGAAGUCUAGUGCACUACUCCAACAGGAGACCCAGCUUUUGUUCACAAGAUUGUUAUUGAAUUCAGUAUCACUGACUUCUACAUUGUAUAUUAUAAAUGAAAAGUCAUGUAUUACAAAUGCUCUUGAAAGGAGGAGGGCAAGGUCGUUGCACUUGGAUGCUUUUGUUGAACGCUUUGCCCAUCAACAGCAAAACAGACGUAUUCAGCUGUCAUGACCUUAGUGAUUUGGUGUAUAGUGAGACUGAUUUGUUUAAGUGUAUAUGUGUUCUGCAUGGUUUCCUAACAUGUUGUUAGAGUUGUAAUAAAGUUCUUCAUAACUAAACU
Scatophagus argus is the source of this 711-nucleotide long non-coding RNA. RefSeq lists it as uncharacterized. The transcript is spliced from 3 exons. NCBI's taxonomy places the organism in Eukaryota, Metazoa, Chordata, Actinopteri, Scatophagidae. The record is from RefSeq and is a predicted model, not a curated record.